Molecule: ribosomal RNA, 253 nt
Filed under: uncultured bacterium
Lineage: Bacteria
Description: partial 16S ribosomal RNA
Rfam family: Bacterial small subunit ribosomal RNA
Source: RNAcentral
GACGAACCGUGCUAACGUUGUUCGGAAUCACUGGGCUUAAAGGGCGCGUAGGCGGUUUGCAAAGUCAAGGGUGAAAUCUUUCGGCUCAACCGGAAAAGGGCCUUUGAUACUGGCAAACUAGAGCGAGGUAGGGGCAGAUGGAACUUCCGGUGGAGCGGUGAAAUGUGUUGAUAUCGGAAGGAACGCCGGUGGCGAAAGCGAUCUGCUGGACCUCUUCUGACGCUGAGGCGCGAAAGCCAGGGGAGCAAACGGG